UGGGAUUUGUGGCUCAGUGGUGGAGCAUCUGCUUUGCAUGCAGAAGGUUGCAGGUUCUAUCCCCAGCAUCUCUAG
Molecule: non-coding RNA, 75 nt
Organism: Podarcis lilfordi (Lilford's wall lizard)
Lineage: Eukaryota; Metazoa; Chordata; Lepidosauria; Squamata; Lacertidae
Source: the annotation of a GenBank genome assembly